This 368-nucleotide long non-coding RNA is filed under the name Solanum tuberosum (potato). RNAcentral describes it as "long non-coding RNA (STUB_LNC001205)". The record is from RNAcentral. Lineage: Eukaryota; Viridiplantae; Streptophyta; Magnoliopsida; Solanales; Solanaceae.
CAUGAAGUUCUAUGUUUUAGAGGACUAAUAACAUGUAGAUCUUCUUUCAAGCUCAGACUUGGUAAGGAAGAGAAGUAACAGUUUUUGCUCCUUUCUGUGGAACUGCCAGAUUUGCAGCAAGCUCCCUUUUCCCAUCAUCUUUGAGCUGAGGUAAGGAGGUUAAAGAAAAGUAACAUUCAGCAGUUUUGUUUUAUAUUCAAUGCAACCUUAUUAGCUCUUGUUCUCUAUUCCAUAGACUAAUGAAGAUAUUCAUUUUACAUCCUAUUCCCUCUCACAAAGCAAGACAAAAAAUAUGGAGAUACUUCCUCAUAUGGACACAGGAUGGCUAUGUAACAACUAAGGACAUUCUCGACACAAUUCAAAAGAAA